UGACCCUACGGGAGGCAGCAGUGGGGGAUAUUGCACAAUGGGGGAAACCCUGAUGCAGCGACGCCGCGUGAGUGAAGAAGUAUUUCGGUAUGUAAAGCUCUAUCGGCAGGGAAGAAAAAAAUGACAGUACCUGACUAAGAAGCCCCGGCUAACUACGUGCCAGCAGCCGCGGUAAUACGUAGGGGGCAAGCGUUAUCCGGAUUUACUGGGUGUAAAGGGAGCGUAGGCGGCCAUGCAAGUCAGAAGUGAAAACCCGGGGCCCAACCCCGGUACUGCAUUUGAAACUGUCCGGCUGGAGUGCAGGG
This 305-nucleotide ribosomal RNA is filed under the name uncultured bacterium. RNAcentral's name for it is "bacterial SSU rRNA". It matches the Rfam family "Bacterial small subunit ribosomal RNA", at positions 333 to 653 of the family's 1533-position model. The record is from RNAcentral.